UACAGAGGUCCCAAGCGUUGUUCGGAUUCAUUGGGCGUAAAGGGUGCGUAGGCGGCGCGGAAAGUCGGGUGUGAAAUUUCGGAGCUUAACUCCGAAACUGCAUUCGAUACUCCCGUGCUUGAGGACUGGAGAGGAGACUGGAAUUUACGGUGUAGCAGUGAAAUGCGUAGAGAUCGUAAGGAAGACCAGUGGCGAAGGCGAGUUUCUGGACAGUUACUGACGCUGAGGCACGAAGGCCAGGGGAGCAAACGGG
Molecule: ribosomal RNA, 253 nt
Filed under: uncultured bacterium
Lineage: Bacteria
Description: partial 16S ribosomal RNA
Rfam family: Bacterial small subunit ribosomal RNA
Source: RNAcentral